UCCUGCAACCAUCCAUAGUAAUUGGUUAUUUGGUUUGUUUAGCUUAGUUUUUUUUCCUUCAGUAAAGCAUAUAUGUAACUACUACUAGUAGGCCUGCUAGAUUAUUCUGCUUAGAUAGUGCAUCGGCGACGAUAGAAUCGCUGUCGUCACGUCGUCAGCCAGCUGAUCGACGUUCAACUCUGUCGCGGUCCCGGCGGGACCCGGCGGCGCCACCACCAAUGCGAUCGCCGUCGAGCGGGCCGUCCAGAAGAAAGUUGCAGCACCGUUUCUGUCAGUCGGCUGCUUGUAGACUUGGAAUAAUCUUUGAGGCCUCACACAAGUUGUAACAGUUGGCUCAAGAAUCAAACUCCAACCCGCGUGACUAUGAUGGAGAGUCGAAUCCGCCUGUGAACAGCAAUCAUGCUGCACAACCCGCGUGACUAUGAUGGAGAGUCGAAUCCGCCUGUGAACAGCAAUCAUGCUGCACAACCCGCGUGACUAUGAUGGAAGACAUUGUCAAAGUCCAAGCUCUGAACAGUGCAGCUGCGGCUCGCAACCUCCUAAUAUAAGAACCAAUCAGCAGGCAGCUAUGACUGGACUGGAUUGUUCAACAACCACCGAUCAGAACCCCGUAACUAAACAACUCAUCAGGCCGACAUGACGGUUCGUCCGUUUAUGCCGCCCAUAUUCGUGCGGUGCCGGCCGUUAUGGCGUUAUACAUGCAACCAACUGAACAACUGAAGAUAUGAUUGGAUUUGAACGAAAGGGUAAAAAAAAAACAGCAAGAAGCGAAAACAGGGGGGGCACUGACC
RNAcentral lists this long non-coding RNA (791 nucleotides) under Setaria viridis. RNAcentral describes it as "long non-coding RNA (SVIR_LNC010046)". Lineage: Eukaryota; Viridiplantae; Streptophyta; Magnoliopsida; Poales; Poaceae. The record is from RNAcentral.